RNAcentral lists this ribosomal RNA (254 nucleotides) under uncultured bacterium. RNAcentral describes it as "partial 16S ribosomal RNA". It matches the Rfam family "Bacterial small subunit ribosomal RNA", at positions 524 to 776 of the family's 1533-position model. The record is from RNAcentral.
UACGGGGGGGGCAAGCGUUGUUCGGAAUUACUGGGCGUAAAGGGUUCGCAGGUGGCCAACUAAGUCAGACGUGAAAUCCCUCAGCUUAACUGGGGAACUGCGUCUGAUACUGGUCUGGCUUGAGUGCAGGAGAGGAACGCGGAAUUCCAGGUGUAGCGGUGAAAUGCGUAGAUAUCUGGAGGAACACCGGUGGCGAAGGCGGGUCUCUGGGCCGAUAUUGACGCUGAGGAGCGAAAGCGUGGGGAGCAAACAGG